Molecule: ribosomal RNA, 253 nt
Filed under: uncultured bacterium
Lineage: Bacteria
Description: partial 16S ribosomal RNA
Rfam family: Bacterial small subunit ribosomal RNA
Source: RNAcentral
GACAGAGGGUGCAAACGUUGUUCGGAUUUACUGGGCGUAAAGCGCGUGUAGGCGGCUUGGCAAGUCGGAUGUGAAAGCCCACGGCUCAACCGUGGAAGCGCAUCCGAAACGGCCUCGCUCGAGUCUCGGAGAGGAAGGUGGAAUGCUUGGUGUAGGGGUGAAAUUCGUAGAUAUCGGGAGGAACACCAGUGGCGAAGGCGGCGAUCUGGACAGAUAUUGACGCUGAGGUGCGAAAGCGUGGGGAGCAAACAGG